RNAcentral lists this transfer RNA (82 nucleotides) under Candidatus Colwellbacteria bacterium CG10_big_fil_rev_8_21_14_0_10_42_22. RNAcentral describes it as "tRNA-Leu". It matches the Rfam family "tRNA". Rfam says of the family: Transfer RNA (tRNA) molecules are approximately 80 nucleotides in length. Their secondary structure includes four short double-helical elements and three loops (D, anti-codon, and T loops). The record is from RNAcentral. Lineage: Bacteria; Candidatus Colwelliibacteriota.
GGGCGAGUGGCGGAACUGGUAUACGCGCACGACUCAAAAUCGUGUCCCGAAAAGGAUGCGGGUUCGACUCCCGCCUCGCCCA